Molecule: signal recognition particle RNA, 256 nt
Filed under: Nanobdellota archaeon
Lineage: Archaea; Nanobdellati; Nanobdellota
Description: signal recognition particle sRNA large type
Rfam family: Bacterial large signal recognition particle RNA
About the family: The signal recognition particle (SRP) is a universally conserved ribonucleoprotein involved in the co-translational targeting of proteins to membranes. Archaeal SRP consists of a 7S RNA and homologues of the eukaryotic SRP19 and SRP54 proteins.
Source: RNAcentral
GCGGACGAGUCGGCGUGUUAGCCCUGCGCCAUUCACAAACGGGCUUUAUGGUGGACUUAAAGGAACGCGUGAUGCUGAAAACGCGGAGUCUUGCGUCUAACGUUGAGGCUUUGUCCUGCUCGAUCGUACUCUUAUGAACCGGGUCAGGCCUUGAUCGGAGCAGCCCUAAGUGGGAAGUAUGAUGCUUGUAGGGUCGCAAAGCUGAGGAGGACACGAGGUAGCUUCUCGUUCGAUGCUGAGCUAGUUCCCUGUCCGU